This 211-nucleotide ribosomal RNA is filed under the name Limosilactobacillus reuteri. RNAcentral's name for it is "Lactobacillus reuteri partial 16S ribosomal RNA". It matches the Rfam family "Bacterial small subunit ribosomal RNA", at positions 1328 to 1533 of the family's 1533-position model. Lineage: Bacteria; Bacillati; Bacillota; Bacilli; Lactobacillales; Lactobacillaceae. The record is from RNAcentral.
UGAAUCGCGUAGUAAUCUCGGAUCAUCAUGCCGCGGCCGAAUACGCUUCCCGGGCCUUGUUACACACCGCCCGUCACACCAUGGGAGUUUGUAACGCCCAAAGUCGGUGGCCUAACCUUUAUGGAGGGAGCCGCCUAAGGCGGGACAGAUGACUGGGGUGAAGUCGUAACAAGGUAGCCGUAGGAGAACCUGCGGCUGGAUCACCUCCUUU